This 76-nucleotide transfer RNA is filed under the name Herpetosiphon sp. Its description in RNAcentral is "tRNA-Thr". It matches the Rfam family "tRNA". From Rfam's summary of the family: Transfer RNA (tRNA) molecules are approximately 80 nucleotides in length. Lineage: Bacteria; Bacillati; Chloroflexota; Chloroflexia; Herpetosiphonales; Herpetosiphonaceae. The record is from RNAcentral.
GCCGCUUUAGCUCAGUUGGUAGAGCAACCGCCUUGUAAGUGGUAGGUCGCCGGUUCAAGUCCGGCACGCGGCUCCA